This 29-nucleotide non-coding RNA is filed under the name Homo sapiens (human). Lineage: Eukaryota; Metazoa; Chordata; Mammalia; Primates; Hominidae. The record is from RNAcentral.
AGGCUGAGGCUGGACUGAGAGGGUUACGA